AUCCAGCUGACGAGUCCCAAAUAGGACGAAACGCAUGUCAUGGAU
Molecule: non-coding RNA, 45 nt
Filed under: Schistosoma mattheei
Lineage: Eukaryota; Metazoa; Platyhelminthes; Trematoda; Strigeidida; Schistosomatidae
Source: RNAcentral